Molecule: ribosomal RNA, 238 nt
Filed under: uncultured bacterium
Lineage: Bacteria
Description: partial 16S ribosomal RNA
Rfam family: Bacterial small subunit ribosomal RNA
Source: RNAcentral
UAAGCAACCUGCCUAUCAGAGGGGAACAACAGUUAGAAAUGACUGCUAAUACCGCAUAUGCCUUGAGUAUUGCAUGAUACAAAAGGGAAAGGAGCAAUCCGCUGAUAGAUGGGCUUGCGUCUGAUUAGCUAGUUGGUGGGGUAAAGGCCUACCAAGGCGACAAUCAGUAGCCGGACUGAGAGGUUGAACGGCCACAUUGGGACUGAGAUACGGCCCAGACUCCUACGGGAGGCAGCAG